Molecule: ribosomal RNA, 497 nt
Filed under: uncultured bacterium
Lineage: Bacteria
Description: partial 16S ribosomal RNA
Rfam family: Bacterial small subunit ribosomal RNA
Source: RNAcentral
UACUAACGCUGGCGGCGUGCCUAAUACAUGCAAGUAGAACGCUGAAGAGAGGAGCUUGCUCUUCUUGGAUGAGUUGCGAACGGGUGAGUAACGCGUAGGUAACCUGCCUUGUAGCGGGGGAUAACUAUUGGAAACGAUAGCUAAUACCGCAUAACAAUGGAUGACACAUGUCAUUUAUUUGAAAGGGGCAAUUGCUCCACUACAAGAUGGACCUGCGUUGUAUUAGCUAGUAGGUGAGGUAAUGGCUCACCUAGGCGACGAUACAUAGCCGACCUGAGAGGGUGAGCGGCCACACUGGGACUGAGACACGGCCCAGACGCCUACGGGAGGCAGCAGUAGGGAAUCUUCGGCAAUAGGGGCAACCCUGACCGAGCAACGCCGCGUGAGUGAAGAAGGUUUUCGGAUCGUAAAGCUCUGUUGUAAGUCAAGAACGGGUGUGAGAGUGGAAAGUUCACACUGUGACGGUAGCUUACCAGAAAGGGACGGCUAACUACGUG